Molecule: transfer RNA, 72 nt
Filed under: Cricetulus griseus (Chinese hamster)
Lineage: Eukaryota; Metazoa; Chordata; Mammalia; Rodentia; Cricetidae
Rfam family: tRNA
About the family: Transfer RNA (tRNA) molecules are approximately 80 nucleotides in length.
Source: Rfam by way of RNAcentral
UGGGAUAUAGUCCAGUGGUAGAACAUUUUCCUCCUGUACUAAAGGUUCUGAGUUUAAUUCCUAGUAUCACAA